UUGUUCCACUUCCACGAUCGACUGCAGUACUCCAAUUCCUGCUUUAUCUCCUUCUUUCUCGCUUCAAGCCAGAUAACAAUUUUGAUGAUGGAUUUGAAGAGAUUACAACUGCAAUUUCUUUUCUCUCUCUUAGGUUAAUUAAGAAAAAAUAAAUAAAACCCUUCAAUAAAAUUCCCUUCCUCUUUCUCUUUUCUUUACGGUGAGACAACAAUUUUAGAUAUUUAAUGAAAGUGAAGGCGAAAACACCUCACAAGAUUUUCAGGGUCCAUAAAUGUUGAACUAGGAACUUCCCCAGCUUACUGCGUGGUCAGAAGUGAACUCCAGAGGUAAAUUGUUGUCUGUUAUCUGUUAGGAACUUGUGGAUAUAAAGUUGUUGCUUCUGACAAGUUCUUUGACAUUCAAAUCUUGUGUACAACAUCCAAAUCUCGGGUAAAUGGUUCGUUGGCAUCCAUCUAAGUUGUUUCACUAGUAUUCAAGAACUCUCAUAUUAAUUUUUGGUAGGGAAACACCGUUCUUUAUAUUUGUGAGUUUAUUUUCUUGCAAUGCAUCAGUACUUCUCAGUUUCAAUAUUAAACACUUCCUUUUCUUGCUAAUUAUAAAUUUCCUUACUUAACAUAUCAUGGAUAUUUCUUGGAUUUUCUCCUUAUAUAGUUUUUUAAAAUAUUGGUGACUAUAUUAUUAUUGUGGUGAAACAAUGCAUGGAAAUAGGAUGGACCCUGUCCAACAACAUCUUGUCAUAUGGACCUGAUGGUAGCGAACUUUCUUUCUUUGUUCAUUCAGUAAUACUUUUAUGUUUCUGUAUUUGCUCUUUGAUAACUUCUUUUAUGGCAGUGGUAAAUUAACUUUCAAGGCACUGAUGGAGUCUGCGGCACAGUCAUUUGUAAAUAAUGGUGAGAAAUACAAAGAUGAAAAACAAGAGGCAUUUCUUACUUCACUAGAACUUGGUAUGCGUCAUGGAUAAAUAAAAAUUUCAAACCUUCACUCCACCUCCUUUCGAUUAUGUGUGUAUCUCUUAUUGUGUUCUUUGCAUUUCGUCAAUUAGUUCUACUUCUUUCGUAUUUGACUUCCGAUGUAAUUUUGAUCACUUUCUAUGAUUAAUGUCUAGUUCUGUGGUGUUUGGAUCCCAUUUCACAAUAUAAUUUGAAGUUGCUAAAAUAAUAAUAUGUUAGAGGGUCGAAUGAAAUAUACCUUGGCCUUCUUACUCAAUAAGAAAAAGAUGAAGUUAGAUUUUGCGUUUUUCACCUCCUUUUUAUACUAGUUUCAAUUUCAAAUUCCUAAUGCUGAACAUUCUGAUGUUUCUUUUGGAUUUGGGUGCUGGUGGCUGAGUGAAUUGUGCUUGUGAAGGUGGUGAUCAGAAAUACUGAUAUAUGCAUAAGCUUCAUGUGCGCACCAAGUAUUGCACAAUUUUGGUGUAUUAGCAUGCAACUGAUGGUCGACGCAGUCAUCCAGGACUCAGACAUGCUUAUUCCUUUGGAUGCCAAGCGACAUUCUAGCAAAAGAGUUCGGAUGAGUUAACUUUGUUGUGGUGUGGGUGCGUCAUCCAUCUUCAGUAACGGGACCUGGAGUAUGCAGGCAAUGGAAGUGCAGUUCUCCCAAAAAUUUGUUAGAGGCUGUCCUUCCAAUUCUUUUAUGCAAAUGCGCUUAUAUGGUUUCAUACUUGCUGACCAUAUUGAUAUUACACUAGUACAAUAAGGGGUUUUAGUCACGGUUGACCUUGUCACGGUUUUAUGUAAACACGUGACCAAAAUUGAGUUCGUCUCGGGGAUAUAAAGGUCCGGGACUAUUUACGAUAUCUUUAGUCCCGGCAUUCAUUUUAGCCGAGACACUAGAUUUCUAGAUACUUAAUAGACCCGGUUUUACAAACGUACUUAUCUCCAGAGACGUGUAAAUUGGGCAGUAUUUAAUUGAUAGCCGAGAUAGUAAAUUGGACACGUAUUUAUCUCCAGAGACGUGUUGUGGAUUUAGGACCUUGGAAGAUGAAGCACAACUCCCGUUUCUAAACCUAAUUUCUCCCCUGCUAUCAAUCCCAUUCUCCCCUGUUGCCAAAUUUCAAUUCGAAAUCAAAACCCAUUCUCCCCUGUUAUCAAUCCCUAACUAAUUUAUCCAUUCAGCUAAUUCUACCGAAGAUUUUAUUGAUCGAUGAGAUCUCACGGAGAUUUUUUAUUGGACACGGCUUACAUUAAACCGUGUCUGAUGCAACUGUUUAAUACCCGCGCCUAUGAUGUACCCAUUUCAAAUUUACUGCCAAUUUUGGUAUCCCACGAUCAACACCACUCCACUCCCUAUUUUCUCUCCAUCAUUUCCUUUUUUGAAACUGCAGCAGUUUUGAAGAGAUUACGUGAAGCCAACUGCAAGUUGUUUUCUCUAUCUGAUGUUAAUCAAGCAAAAUCCUUCC
Molecule: RNA transcript, 2395 nt
Organism: Papaver somniferum (opium poppy)
Lineage: Eukaryota; Viridiplantae; Streptophyta; Magnoliopsida; Ranunculales; Papaveraceae
Exons: 3
Source: RefSeq, a predicted model, not a curated record